This 73-nucleotide transfer RNA is filed under the name Camelus bactrianus (Bactrian camel). It matches the Rfam family "tRNA". Rfam says of the family: Transfer RNA (tRNA) molecules are approximately 80 nucleotides in length. Their secondary structure includes four short double-helical elements and three loops (D, anti-codon, and T loops). Lineage: Eukaryota; Metazoa; Chordata; Mammalia; Artiodactyla; Camelidae. The record is from Rfam by way of RNAcentral. RNAcentral also lists the same sequence under 2 other names.
GAGGGUAUACCUCAGUGGUAGAAGUAUGUGCUUAGCAUGCACAAGGUCCUAGGUUCAAUCCCCAGUACCUACA